CCCUUAGAGUUUGAUCCUGGCUCAGAGCGAACGCUGGCGGCAGGCCUAACACAUGCAAGUCGAGCGCCGUAGCAAUACGGAGCGGCAGACGGGAGAGUAACACGUGGGAACGUACCCUUCAGUUCGGAACAACCCAGGGAAACUUGGGCUAAUACCGGAUACGUCCGUAAGGAGAAAGAUUUAUCGCUGAAGGAUCGGCCCGCGUCUGAUUAGCUAGUUGGUGAGGUAACGGCUCACCAAGGCGACGAUCAGUAGCUGGUCUGAGAGGAUGAUCAGCCUCACUGGGACUGAGACACGGCCCAGACUCCUACGGGAGGCAGCAGUGGGGAAUAUUGGACAAUGGGCGCAAGCCUGAUCCAGCCAUGCCGCGUGGAUGAUGAAGGCCCUAGGGUUGUAAAGUCCUUUCGACGGGGAAGAUAAUGACGGUACCCGUAGAAGAAGCCCCGGCUAACUUCGUGCCAGCAGCCGCGGUAAUACGAAGGGGGCUAGCGUUGCUCGGAAUCACUGGGCGUAAAGCGCACGUAGGCGGACUCUUAAGUCGGGGGUGAAAUCCUGGAGCUCAACUCCAGAACUGCCUUCGAUACUGGGAGUCUUCGAG
Molecule: ribosomal RNA, 598 nt
Filed under: uncultured bacterium
Lineage: Bacteria
Description: bacterial SSU rRNA
Rfam family: Bacterial small subunit ribosomal RNA
Source: RNAcentral